This 497-nucleotide ribosomal RNA is filed under the name uncultured bacterium. RNAcentral's name for it is "partial 16S ribosomal RNA". It matches the Rfam family "Bacterial small subunit ribosomal RNA", at positions 28 to 507 of the family's 1533-position model. The record is from RNAcentral.
GAUGAACGCUGGCGGCGUGCCUAAUACAUGCAAGUCGAGCGAACAGACGAGGAGCUUGCUCCUCUGACGUUAGCGGCGGACGGGUGAGUAAUACGUGGAUAACCUACCUAUAAGACUGGGAUAACUUCGGGAAACCGGAGCUAAUACCGGAUAAUCUAUUGAACCGCAUUGUUCAAUAGUGAAAGACGGUUUUGCUGGCACUUAUAGAUGGAUCCGCGCCGCAUUAGCUAGUUGGUAAGUUAAGGGCUUACCAAGGCAAGGAUGCGUAGCCGACCUGAGAGGGGGAUCGGCCACCCGGGAACGGGGACAGGGUCAAGACGCCUACGGGAGGCAGCAGAAGGGAAUCGGACGCAAAGGGCGAAAGCCUGACGGAGCAACGCCGCGUGAGUGAUGAAGGUCUUCGGAGCGUAAAACUGGGUUAUUAGGGAAGAACAAAUGUGUAAGUAACUAUGCCCGUCUUGACGGUACCUAAUCAGAAAGCAACGGCUAACUACGUG